CAAUAGCGUAUAUUAAAGUUGUUGCGGUUAAAAAGCUCGUAGUUGGAUUUCUGCGAGGGGCAGCCGGUCCGCUCUAUGAGCGUGUAUCUGGAUUGACCUUUGCAUCCUCUCGAAAAACGUUUCUGCGCUUGAUUGCGUGGUGCGGGGUUCGGGACUUUACUUUGAGGAAAUUAGAGUGUUCACGGCAGGCGAUCGCCUUGAAUAUAUUAGCAUGGAAUAAUAAUAUAGGAUCUUGGUUCUAUUUUGUGGUUUCUAGGACUAAGAUAAUGAUUAAUAGGGACAAUUGGGGGCAUUCGUAUUAACACGUCAGAGGUGGAAUUCUUGGAUUGUGUUACGACGAACUACUGCGAAAGCAUUUGCCAAGGAUGUUUUCAUUGAUCAAGAACGAAAGUAAGGGGAUCGAAGACGAUCAGAUACC
This 418-nucleotide ribosomal RNA is filed under the name uncultured eukaryote. Its description in RNAcentral is "SSU rRNA". It matches the Rfam family "Eukaryotic small subunit ribosomal RNA", at positions 592 to 1016 of the family's 1831-position model. The record is from RNAcentral.